RNAcentral lists this ribosomal RNA (253 nucleotides) under uncultured bacterium. RNAcentral describes it as "partial 16S ribosomal RNA". It matches the Rfam family "Archaeal small subunit ribosomal RNA", at positions 474 to 727 of the family's 1478-position model. The record is from RNAcentral.
UACCAGCACCCCGAGUGGUCGGGGCGAUUAUUGGGCCUAAAGCAUCCGUAGCCGGUCAUGCAAGUCUUCCGUUAAAUCCAGCCGCUCAACGGUUGGGCUGCGGAGGAUACUACGUGGCUAGGAGGCGGGAGAGGCAAGCGGUACUCAGUGGGUAGGGGUAAAAUCCUUUGAUCCAUUGAAGACCACCAGUGGCGAAGGCGGCAUCCUGGACCGACAUUGGCGCUGAGGAGCGAAAGCUAGGGGAGCAAACGGG